GAUGAAGAACGUAGCGAAAUGCGAUAAGUAAUGUGAAUUGCAGAAUUCAGUGAAUCAUCGAAUCUUUGAACGCACAUUGCGCCCCCUGGUAUUCCGGGGGGCAUGCCUGUUCGAGCGUCAUUUCACCACUCAAGCCUCGCUUGGUAUUGGGCAACGCGGUCCGCCGCAUGCCUCAAAUCGACCGGCUGGGUCUUCUGUCCCCUAAGCGUUGUGGAAACUAUUCGCUAAAGGGUGUUCGGGAGGCUACGCCGUAAAACAACCCCAUUUCUAAGGUUGACCUCGGAUCAGGUAGGGAUACCCGCUGAACUUAAGCAUAUCAAUAAGCGGAGGA
This 331-nucleotide unclassified non-coding RNA is filed under the name soil metagenome. RNAcentral describes it as "partial contains 5.8S ribosomal RNA, internal transcribed spacer 2, and large subunit ribosomal RNA". The stretch from base 1 to 120 matches the Rfam family "5.8S ribosomal RNA", at positions 35 to 154 of the family's 154-position model. The record is from RNAcentral.